CACAGGUGUGUGUUCAUCAUGUAAAGCUGUCAGAGCGUCUGUGCGCGUCACACCUGUGCAGGUGAAUGGGUGUUUACUCAGUCAUAAACACUGUGCUGCGUGAGGAAGGAUCCGAGAUGUCGCUCGCCCCUUAAAUCACUUUCUGCACCACCGAAAGUGACUGCUGUCCUCAGCCCAUCUGUUUGCCUGCUCUUCACCUUCAGCCUCGGCCUGGAUCUGCAGCCAAUCAGACGCCAGCGCUGUUCAUUAAAGCAACAGUUCACCCUAAAAUCAGCACCGUUUACUCUCACUCGUGUCCUUCAGACCUGAGCUUGUUCUCUGGAGCUCAAAAGAAGAUAUUGCUUAUAUCAGACCCCAGUG
This 360-nucleotide long non-coding RNA is filed under the name Sinocyclocheilus anshuiensis. RNAcentral describes it as "lncRNA (ENSSANG00000016731.1)". Lineage: Eukaryota; Metazoa; Chordata; Actinopteri; Cypriniformes; Cyprinidae. The record is from RNAcentral.